This 898-nucleotide long non-coding RNA is filed under the name Rattus norvegicus (Norway rat). Its description in RNAcentral is "long non-coding RNA NONRATT025356". The record is from RNAcentral. Lineage: Eukaryota; Metazoa; Chordata; Mammalia; Rodentia; Muridae.
AAAAAUUACCAACUUCUAAAUUUUAUUUCCAAUGCAGGGAUGUGGAAAACAACCAAAUGUCAAUUACAAGGUCGGGCCGAGCUAUCUUUCUGUGUGUGCACAGUUGUGUGUCCCCGUCCAACCCCCCGCCCCCGUACAGUAUCCCCUUUCAGACCAACAUGGCAUAAGUCAUAACUAUAUUUAGGAAUUCAUGUUGAGGAAAAUCUUACUGCUGGAUUCAAGUCUGAGAAGGAGAGGAAAACCCUCCUCAAGCAGAAGAAAGCAUCUCUUCAGCGCACACUUCACGACCAAUCAAAAGAGCUCACGAGUUGCUAUUUACAAAACUUAGACGGGCAGGUGAGGGUCCAGAAACAGAUUGAACAGGGCUGUAAAUUCUCUCUACAGUAAAAUGUAAAUUUUGGUUUCUUCUCGUAGCACAGCCGGAGGUCAACGUAGGGGAUGCUGCAAAGUUUCUGCCUGACGUUGAAGAAAGACACGCAGGCAGUUUGAGGCACCAGCACCCUUUGCUGAAUACACAGAAAAGCAGCCACUUGUUUACCGUUGGAUAACUUUGUGGGGAAAGGCACUGAGCCCGCGGACCGCGGCGGGCGCUCUAGCCAAUGAACCUCUCGGCCGGCCACGUCUCCGGGGCGUUGGCGGGGAUGCGUGGAGCCUCCUGCCCUGGCGGGGCCAGGGCCUCCAUCUCGCGCACCACCUGCGUGAACACGCGGUCCACCAUCAUUUUGCUCUUGGCCGUGAUCUCCAGGAAAGGGCAGCGCCACUCGCGGGCCAGCGCGCGGCCCUGAGCCGUCAGUACUUGGCGCUCGGCGUCCAGGUCGACCUUGGUGCCCACCAACACCAGCGGGACGGCGCGCGAGCCCCGCAGCCGGCCCAUGCGCUCCCGCAGCGGCCGCACAGC